UACGAAGGGGGCGAGCGUUGUUCGGAUUCACUGGGCGUAAAGGGUGCGUAGGUGGCCAGGUAAGUUCGGUGUGAAAGCUCGGAGCUUAACUCCGAAAUGGCAUUGAAUACUAUCUGGCUAGAGGGUCGGAGGGGAGACUGGAAUUCUCGGUGUAGCAGUGAAAUGCGUAGAUAUCGAGAGGAACACCAGUGGCGAAGGCGAGUCUCUGGACGACUCCUGACACUGAGGCACGAAAGCCAGGGGAGCAAACAGG
RNAcentral lists this ribosomal RNA (253 nucleotides) under uncultured bacterium. RNAcentral's name for it is "partial 16S ribosomal RNA". It matches the Rfam family "Bacterial small subunit ribosomal RNA", at positions 524 to 776 of the family's 1533-position model. The record is from RNAcentral.